AGUGAACGCUGGCGGUAGGCCUAACACAUGCAAGUCGAACGGCAGCACAGUAAGAGCUUGCUCUUACGGGUGGCGAGUGGCGGACGGGUGAGGAAUACAUCGGAAUCUACUUUUUCGUGGGGGAUAACGUAGGGAAACUUACGCUAAUACCGCAUACGACCUACGGGUGAAAGCAGGGGAUCUUCGGACCUUGCGCGAUUGAAUGAGCCGAUGUAGGAUUAGCUAGUUGGCGGGGUAAAGGCCCACCAAGGCGACGAUCCGUAGCUGGUCUGAGAGGAUGAUCAGCCAGACUGGAACUGAGACACGGUCCAGACUCCUACGGGAGGCAGCAGUGGGGAAUAUUGGACAAUGGGCGCAAGCCUGAUCCAGCCAUACCGCGUGGGUGAAGAAGGCCUUCGGGUUGUAAAGCCCUUUUGUUGGGAAAGAAAAGCAGCAGGUUAAUACCCCGCUGUUCUGACGGUACCCAAAGAAUAAGCACCGGCUAACUUCGUG
Molecule: ribosomal RNA, 492 nt
Filed under: uncultured bacterium
Lineage: Bacteria
Description: partial 16S ribosomal RNA
Rfam family: Bacterial small subunit ribosomal RNA
Source: RNAcentral